UUUAUGGAGAGUUUGAUCCUGGCUCAGAGUGAACGCUGGCGGCGUGCCUAAUACAUGCAAGUCGAACGAUGAAGCUU
This 77-nucleotide ribosomal RNA is filed under the name Campylobacter coli. Its description in RNAcentral is "partial 16S ribosomal RNA". It matches the Rfam family "Bacterial small subunit ribosomal RNA", at positions 1 to 77 of the family's 1533-position model. Lineage: Bacteria; Pseudomonadati; Campylobacterota; Epsilonproteobacteria; Campylobacterales; Campylobacteraceae. The record is from RNAcentral. RNAcentral also lists the same sequence under 1 other name.